This 221-nucleotide unclassified non-coding RNA is filed under the name Hevea brasiliensis (rubber tree). Lineage: Eukaryota; Viridiplantae; Streptophyta; Magnoliopsida; Malpighiales; Euphorbiaceae. The record is from RNAcentral.
GUACUAUGGGUAUGGAGGGACUUAUGAUGCUUAUGGAUAUGGAGUUGUACAAGAUCCAUCUUUAUAUGCUUAUGGUGCAUAUUCGGGUUAUGCCUCGUAUCCUCAACAGCCAUUUUUCAAUUGGAGUCUAUUGGGUGAAUUCUAAUUGCCCUUUCAGGAUGCUAAGGCUUAGAAUCAGAAUAAAAUGAGUGGGAAUCAAGAGCAAUAUAUUUAUAGAAAAA